This 1431-nucleotide long non-coding RNA is filed under the name Marmota monax (woodchuck). The record is from RNAcentral. Lineage: Eukaryota; Metazoa; Chordata; Mammalia; Rodentia; Sciuridae.
UAACAUGUCUCUGAGCUCAGAGGACCAGUCCUCUUCCUCCUUCUUCCUCGGUGCCUCCCUCCAAUUCUGGAGAAAACAAGUGGACUAUUCAUGUAAAAAGAGAAAGAGUAAGGAGGGGGGAGAUGCCACCGACAAACUCCAUUGAAAGCCACUGGCUGUUCAUUUACAUUCACACUUUUAAAAAAUGUUAACUAAUGAUGUUAAAUGGUUUGCCAAAGGUCCUGGCAGGUCAGUUGUAGAAGUGUCAUUUCUGCCUAAUUAGGGCUCUUGUGGCUGCCCGGGGCCUCCCAGUGCAACUGGUGACAAGCGAGAGCUGACAGCUUCAAUUGGUGCCAAUAGGAAGGUUGGGCCGGUCAUGUUUUCCAACUCAGCCAGGUGUUUGCUGAAUGGGGGAGGGGGCUUGGCGAGAUCUGAGCACUUCUAUGAUCCUUUUUCUUUCAUGACCCCCUCCCAAGUCCUUCCCCUUUGCCUGUCUUGUCUUGUGUCAAGGUCAAGAAUGGGCUUUGCUAAAUCAGCAAUUUGGGUUAUCUCUGGGAGGUCAUUAGCAGUCCCAGCCCAGACUGUUUCAAGUGGUCUCAGACCCCAGAUGCUAGAUUUUUUUUUUCUCCCUAAAAAUCAGAGCAGGAAAAGAAAAGGAAUGCUUUGGGUAAUAACAGCAGCAAGAAAAAACAAAACAAAAAUCUACACAGAAAGCUCUUGGUACCCAUUAAAGUGUUAAACUUCUGAAGACGUCGCAAAUAAUAAAACUGCUUAAAGGGAAAACUGAAGUAUUCUGAUCUCUACCUUAAAUAUCUGAAGAAAGAAAAGAUGACAAUGAAAAAAACAUCCUAGAAGGUUUGCUGGAUUGGACAGUACCCGUCUCAUAGUAGGUGCUCACUAAAUAGUUUCUUGUUUGAUUUGAUUUUUCAGGAGAAAAAUGAUGCCUGAGAGACAAAUAAUGAUUGUUAGAGAUGAGGUUCUCCUGGUAACUUCUAAUAAAUACUGUGAAGUGCUCUUUGGAUUUCUUACUUGACCAUAAAGUACCUGCAGAGGUGAAGUCUCACAUUAUGGGCUGAUAUGCUCUUGCUUUCUGUUUUGUUUUGAUAACAUCAUAAAACGAGCAUAAUGUCACCCCCAGGCUGCAGCAACUACAACACAAGGAGAUGGUCCCAUGACGGUGAUGGGACACCUGUGUCCAGCUCUCGGACUCGAUGCUUCGGCGGGUUCUGCGGGGAUGAUGGCUCUCCUUUGCUGAGUCUGAGCAAAUUCACGUGUACAUUCAGUGGGUCUGUGAACCACGAUGACAGGAUUCACACAAGGGCGUCUGGGGAGGGAUGCUGCGUUAAAAUUAAAGGAAAGCAUGAAAUGGAAAAGUCAAUGUUUGUUUUGUGAAAAUCUAAGCCCAAAUCCAGAGGCAGUCCUGGGAAGGAGGGGAGGUCUAACAUGAAGGCA